UUCCGACCGGGUCACUACGGUCCGGUCGGUGAAAAGGGAAUCUGGUGAGAAUCCAGAGCUGCCCCGCAGCGGUGACGGAAACGACAGCGGCUCCUCGCACUGGACUUCACGGUCCGGGAAGCGGCCGCGGGUAGGUGGCAUCUCGGUGCCGGGUCCGAAGUCCGAAGACCUGCCGCCGUGGCCAUGGGGGA
This 191-nucleotide non-coding RNA is filed under the name Gordonia polyisoprenivorans. RNAcentral also lists the same sequence under 1 other name. The record is from RNAcentral. Lineage: Bacteria; Bacillati; Actinomycetota; Actinomycetes; Mycobacteriales; Gordoniaceae.